RNAcentral lists this ribosomal RNA (210 nucleotides) under Clostridioides difficile. RNAcentral's name for it is "partial 23S ribosomal RNA". It matches the Rfam family "Bacterial large subunit ribosomal RNA", at positions 1575 to 1798 of the family's 2925-position model. Lineage: Bacteria; Bacillati; Bacillota; Clostridia; Peptostreptococcales; Peptostreptococcaceae. The record is from RNAcentral.
AAAUUUAGUAGCGAAGUAGCUGAUUUCACACUGUCAAGAAAAGUCUCUAUCGAGGUUAAAGGUACCCGUACCGCAAACCGACACAGGUGGGUGAGGAGAGUAUCCUAGGGCCAGCGAGAGAACUGUUGUUAAGGAACUCGGCAAAAUGACCCCGUAACUUAGGGAUAAGGGGUGCCACCAUCAGGUGGCCGCAGAGAAUAGGCCCAAGCG